UGGGGAAUCUUGCGCAAUGGGCGAAAGCCUGACGCAGCAACGCCGCGUGUGUGAUGAAGGUCUUCGGAUCGUAAAGCACUGUCGCGAGGGACGAAUAAGGGUUGGGUGAACAAUCCAGUCCGAUGACGGUACCUCGAAAGGAAGCACCGGCUAACUCUGUGCCAGCAGCCGCGGUAAUACAGAGGGUGCAAGCGUUGUUCGGAAUUAUUGGGCGUAAAGCGCGUGUAGGCGGCUUUGUAAGUCAGGUGUGAAAGCCCUCGGCUUAACCGAGGAAGUGCGCCUGAAACUGCAGAGCUUGAGUACCGGAGAGGGCGGUGGAAUUCCCGGUGUAGAGGUGAAAUUCGUAGAUAUCGGGAGGAACACCAGCGGCGAAGGCGACCGCCUGGACGGCUACUGACGCUGAGACGCGAAAGCGUGGGGAGCAAACAGG
RNAcentral lists this ribosomal RNA (430 nucleotides) under uncultured prokaryote. RNAcentral describes it as "bacterial SSU rRNA". It matches the Rfam family "Bacterial small subunit ribosomal RNA", at positions 355 to 776 of the family's 1533-position model. RNAcentral also lists the same sequence under 1 other name. The record is from RNAcentral.